This 429-nucleotide ribosomal RNA is filed under the name Gemmatimonadota bacterium. Its description in RNAcentral is "Gemmatimonadetes bacterium partial 16S ribosomal RNA". It matches the Rfam family "Bacterial small subunit ribosomal RNA", at positions 355 to 776 of the family's 1533-position model. Lineage: Bacteria; Pseudomonadati; Gemmatimonadota. The record is from RNAcentral.
UAGGGAAUCUUCGGCAAUGGACGAAAGUCUGACCGAGCAACGCCGCGGGAGUGAAGAAGGUUUUCGGAUCGUAAAACUCUGUUGUUAGAGAAGAACAAGGACGUUAGUAACUGAACGUCCCCUGACGGUAUCUAACCAGAAAGCCACGGCUAACUACGUGGCAGCAGCCGCGGUAAUACGUAGGUGGCAAGCGUUGUCCGGAUUUAUGGGGCGUAAAGCGAGCGCAGGCGGUUUCUUAAGUCUGAUGUGAAAGCCCCCGGCUCAACCGGGGAGGGUCAUUGGAAACUGGGAAGCUUGCGUGCAGAAGAGGAGAGUGGAAUUCCAUAUGUAGCGGUGAAAUGCGUAGAUAUAUGGAGGAACACCAGUGGCGAAGGCGGCUCUCUGGUCUGUAACUGACGCUGAGGCUCGAAAGCGUGGGGAGCAAACAGG